UGGGGAAUCUUAGACAAUGGGCGCAAGCCUGAUCUAGCCAUGCCGCGUGAGUGAUGAAGGCCCUAGGGUCGUAAAGCUCUUUCGCCAGGGAUGAUAAUGACAGUACCUGGUAAAGAAACCCCGGCUAACUCCGUGCCAGCAGCCGCGGUAAUACGGAGGGGGUUAGCGUUGUUCGGAAUUACUGGGCGUAAAGCGUACGUAGGCGGAUCAGAAAGUUGGGGGUGAAAUCCCGGGGCUCAACCCCGGAACUGCCUCCAAAACUCCUGGUCUUGAGUUCGAGAGAGGUGAGUGGAAUUCCAAGUGUAGAGGUGAAAUUCGUAGAUAUUUGGAGGAACACCAGUGGCGAAGGCGGCUCACUGGCUCGAUACUGACGCUGAGGUACGAAAGUGUGGGGAGCAAACAGGAUUAGAUACCCUGGUAGUCCACACCGUAAACGAUGAAUGCCAGUCGUCGGGCAGUAUACUGUUCGGUGACACACCUAACGGAUUAAGCAUUCCGCCUGGGGAGUACGGUCGCAA
Molecule: ribosomal RNA, 518 nt
Filed under: uncultured bacterium
Lineage: Bacteria
Description: bacterial SSU rRNA
Rfam family: Bacterial small subunit ribosomal RNA
Source: RNAcentral